AUUGAACGCUGGCGGCAUGCUUUACACAUGCAAGUCGAACGGUAACAGGGAGCUUGCUCCGCUGACGAGUGGCGAACGGGUGAGUAAUGCAUCGGAACGUGCCGUGUAGUGGGGGAUAACGUAGCGAAAGUUACACUAAUACCGCAUACGCCCCGAGGGGGAAAGUGGGGGACCGCAAGGCCUCACGCUAUACGAGCGGCCGAUGUCGGAUUAGCUAGUUGGUAGGGUAAAGGCCUACCAAGGCGACGAUCCGUAGCGGGUCUGAGAGGAUGAUCCGCCACACUGGGACUGAGACACGGCCCAGACUCCUACGGGAGGCAGCAGUGGGGAAUUUUGGACAAUGGGCGCAAGCCUGAUCCAGCCAUGCCGCGUGAGUGAAGAAGGCCUUCGGGUUGUAAAGCUCUUUCGGCUGGGAGAAAUCGCACAGGCUAAUACUCUGUGUGGAUGACGGUACCAGCACAAGAAGCACCGGCUAACUACGUGCCAGCAG
This 490-nucleotide ribosomal RNA is filed under the name uncultured bacterium. RNAcentral describes it as "bacterial SSU rRNA". It matches the Rfam family "Bacterial small subunit ribosomal RNA", at positions 29 to 514 of the family's 1533-position model. The record is from RNAcentral.